AUUGUAGUCGACAGUAUAUACAUUAAAAUUGGAACGGUACAGAGAAGAUUAUCACGUCCCUUGCGCAACCAUGUUUUCCGUAUUUUAAUAUAAUAUCGUUGAAUGU
Danaus plexippus plexippus is the source of this 106-nucleotide non-coding RNA. Lineage: Eukaryota; Metazoa; Arthropoda; Insecta; Lepidoptera; Nymphalidae. The record is from Rfam.